RNAcentral lists this transfer RNA (30 nucleotides) under Anguilla marmorata (giant mottled eel). Its description in RNAcentral is "partial tRNA-Thr". Lineage: Eukaryota; Metazoa; Chordata; Actinopteri; Anguilliformes; Anguillidae. The record is from RNAcentral.
GAGAUGAAGAUUAAAAUUCUUCCUAGCGCU